This 507-nucleotide ribosomal RNA is filed under the name uncultured microorganism. RNAcentral's name for it is "bacterial SSU rRNA". It matches the Rfam family "Bacterial small subunit ribosomal RNA", at positions 9 to 514 of the family's 1533-position model. The record is from RNAcentral.
GAGUUUGAUCUUGGCUCAGAUUGAACGCUGGCGGCAGGCCUAACACAUGCAAGUCGAGCGGAUGAAGGGAGCUUGCUCCUGGAUUCAGCGGCGGACGGGUGAGUAAUGCCUAGGAAUCUGCCUGGUAGUGGGGAUAACGUCCGGAAACGGGCGCUAAUACCGCAUACGUCCUGAGGGAGAAAGUGGGGGAUCUUCGGACCUCACGCUAUCAGAUGAGCCUAGGUCGGAUUAGCUAGUUGGUGGGGUAAAGGCCUACCAAGGCGACGAUCCGUAACUGGUCUGAGAGGAUGAUCAGUCACACUGGAACUGAGACACGGUCCAGACUCCUACGGGAGGCAGCAGUGGGGAAUAUUGGACAAUGGGCGAAAGCCUGAUCCAGCCAUGCCGCGUGUGUGAAGAAGGUCUUCGGAUUGUAAAGCACUUUAAGUUGGAGGAAGGGCGAGUAAGUUAAUACCUUGCUGUUUGACGUUACAACAGAAUAAGCACCGGCUAACUUCGUGCCAGCAG